This is a long non-coding RNA of Brassica napus (rape), 1485 nucleotides long. RefSeq lists it as uncharacterized. The transcript has 2 exons. NCBI's taxonomy places the organism in Eukaryota, Viridiplantae, Streptophyta, Magnoliopsida, Brassicales, Brassicaceae. The record is from RefSeq and is a predicted model, not a curated record.
AUUUAUCAAGAUUUUUUUUGGACUAAAUUCUUCAAAUUAAAGCAAACGUUAUAAGAGAAUUUUAACAUGAUAAAGAAAAUGUUAUAAGAGAAUGUUAACAUGAUAUAAGAAGUACAGUCAGGUGUGGUCUUAAGUAAGAAUUUUUAACUCUCCGAGACACUUUAUGACUUUGGAAUUUCAUUCCAAAAUACUUUCCACUUGUGACAACCUUUUUACUUGCUGAAUGACAUUUAUGUCUUCAGCUAAUAGAAAAAGAAAAAAAAAUCAAACCGGGUCCGAGCCUUCCAAUUUACUUUCCGUACCAAACCCUCCUUUUACCAAUUUCCAAACCCUAGUUUCUAAUUCAAAAUUCACAGCAUCUCUCAAACCACCCCACCCCUCUUACGGUGAUUCCUAAGAACCCUAAAUUCUAACAAAUCGUUCUUUACACUUUCUCCUUGCAGUUUCUCCUCUAAAACACCGACUAGUCUGAAUCAUCAACAAGAAACAAACCCUUCUCUUUCUGAAUUCUAAUUACCAAAUUUCCAAAUUGAUAAAAACUAAUCAAAGCUUCUUCGAUUCUCCUCUCCUCUGUUACUCACAGAGUUGCUUUGCUUUAGAGAGUUGAUGAGUUUGGGAUUCAAAGUGGGUGAGCUCGGGAUCCACCGUGGAUGAGCUCGAGAUAGCUGCGGUGUUGUUUUAGAGAGUGGAUGAGCUCGAGAUUCGCUAUGGAUGAGUUCAUGAUUUUCUGUGUGUGAGUUCGGGAUCCGCCAUGGGUGAACUCGGGAUAGCUGUGGUGGAGUUUCAGAGAGUGGAUGAGUUUCAAGGUUGUUAUCUCUGAUUUCCUUUGUCCAUGAAUCUUUGUCUACACAACCUUAACGACAGCUGUGGCGGCGAAGCUGUUUUCUCCUUCGUUGUCUUGUCAAUGGAUGACUUCAAGAGAUGUAGUAAUCAAAGGGUGGAGACGGGCAUGUGUGACGAAACGAAACAGAGUCUCCCCUGUCACCGCCAUGGUUGUGGAGCCUCUUAAUACUGCCAUUCAGAUUCAUCAAUGGUGGGAACACAACCCUAGUUCAUUACUGAUAAUGGCAGAGAGCGGGAGACUGGUAGUGGUUACUCGUUGGCUAGCUACUACACAUAUCAGUGGGUUUGUUUGUUAUUUCAGUUCCAGACUUUGGUCUCUAGUUAAAAGCUCCGUUAAAUCAAAGAUAGUGAGGUAGACCUUUGUUUUUAGCGAAGGAAAAUGAGUAAGGAGCUUAUGAAAGUUGCUGGAGAAGUUCUCUAUUUUUUCAUAAGGAAGAACUUCAACAUCACUGAUCGUGAAGAAACAAUCAUGUAAGCUCAUUCAGAAGAAAUUUUCAAUUUUUUUUAUGUAGGUUUUAGUUUAGUAGGCUAUGUUCACACAUUUUUUUGCAAAACCUUGUCCACAAUAUAUUUUAUACAUCUUGUCCACAAUAAUUUGAAGAGAUGUUUAACUAAGCCAUGUUUACACAUUUUUUCACAAAA